GCGGCGCCGGGCUGCCAGAGGUGCACGUCGGCGACCUCGAGCGUCGCCUCGGCGCCGGUGCCGGUCGCGACGACCGCGCCCUGC
This 84-nucleotide transfer RNA is filed under the name Agromyces rhizosphaerae. Its description in RNAcentral is "tRNA-Ser". The record is from RNAcentral. Lineage: Bacteria; Bacillati; Actinomycetota; Actinomycetes; Micrococcales; Microbacteriaceae.